UUGGAACAGCAACCGGCUCCGGUGCUGGCCGUGUGGUGGCCUGUGGUGAGUGGUCUCCGGCCCCUCCCUCCCUGAACGGCAGGCCGACGACAACACUCCGCUGAGGGCAGACCCCACCAGUUCGUGGCGCCAAACCCUCCGCGGCAUGCUCCUGCCGCUGCUCACGCCACUCGAUUCGUCCGGUCGGGGCAGCGGAAGGUGACCCCAUGCAGGUUUACGGCGUGGUGAAUUUCUGCUUCCGGAUUUAACACUCACAGACCAGACUGAGAAGCCUGGGGGCCUAGACUUGUUCAGUAACGUGCCCUUCCCCCACUACGGAUCAAAGCUACGAGGAGAGUGGGAAAUCAGGAACUCCUUUGUAAGAAGUAAGACAAGAUGCCCAUGGUCACACGGCGGCUGAGAGACCCUGACAUAAAUCCUUGCUUAUCGGUAGGGCGUGUAUAGAAUUCUGUCAUGAUCCAAAGAAGACAAAAUGGAGUUCAGCCAUCUAUGCCUACAGCAGCAGAAAGAGAUGAAAUUUUGGGAGCAAUGCAAAAGAUGCCCUAUUGAGUAUUUGCAUUAAAAUUGUUUCUAUAACUUG
RNAcentral lists this long non-coding RNA (580 nucleotides) under Rattus norvegicus (Norway rat). RNAcentral describes it as "long non-coding RNA NONRATT022067". The record is from RNAcentral. Lineage: Eukaryota; Metazoa; Chordata; Mammalia; Rodentia; Muridae.